RNAcentral lists this ribosomal RNA (440 nucleotides) under uncultured bacterium. RNAcentral describes it as "partial 16S ribosomal RNA". It matches the Rfam family "Bacterial small subunit ribosomal RNA", at positions 338 to 795 of the family's 1533-position model. The record is from RNAcentral.
CCUACGGGUGGCAGCAGUAGGGAAUAUUGCUCAAUGGGGGAAACCCUGAAGCAGCAACGCCGCGUGGAGGAUGACGGUUUUCGGAUUGUAAACUCCUUUUUUUAGAGAAGUUAAUGACGGUAUCUAACGAAUAAGCACCGGCUAACUCCGUGCCAGCAGCGGCGGUAAUACGGCGGGUGCAAGCGUUACUCGGAAUCACUGGGCGUAAAGAGCGCGUAGGCGGGAUAGCAAGUCAGAUGUGAAAUCCUAUGGCUUAACCAUAGAACUGCAUUUGAAACUGUUAGUCUAGAGUAUGGGAGAGGUAGGUGGAAUUCUUGGUGUAGGGGUAAAAUGCGUAGAGAUCAAGAGGAAUACUCAUUGCGAAGGCGACCUGCUAGAACAUAACUGACGCUGAUGCGCGAAAGCGUGGGGAGCAAACAGGAUUAGAUACCCUAGUAGUC